UUAUUAAAAUUAAUUGCAAAUUGUUUGUGCGCGUGCGCGAGCGAGCCAGCUCCUUUUUAAACAAAAUACAAAAUCAAGAAAAAAAAAAUAAGUAAAUAAGAAGAAGACAAACAGCUCAGCAAAAUGCUUGUAAAAUGUAUGAGAAAAUUUUAUACCUACAAAAAUAUGGUCAAUAUUGCCAUUUACUCACCUGUGCAGUUGUCUAUGUCUGACUGUCUGUUUGUAUGUAUGUGUGUGUGUAUGUGUGGCGAUGUUGGGGCUGUCACGGAUCUCGGGUCGACCUGGCCACUGAGUGCGUUUUCAACAGUUGUUGGCGUCGGUUGUCCCGUCACCGUCUCGCCAGAGAACUUUUUCCUUCAGUGUUUUGUGCGGUGAAUUAUACGAAAAGGAAGGCCCGAAAUUACGCGUCCCACCUCUCGGAAACGUGAAAUGCCCAAUAAAUUGUUCUUAAUUAUCUAAUGUGCAA
Molecule: long non-coding RNA, 466 nt
Organism: Drosophila navojoa
Lineage: Eukaryota; Metazoa; Arthropoda; Insecta; Diptera; Drosophilidae
Source: RefSeq, a predicted model, not a curated record